Molecule: ribosomal RNA, 1489 nt
Filed under: Mimetus sp. GH1409
Lineage: Eukaryota; Metazoa; Arthropoda; Arachnida; Araneae; Mimetidae
Description: SSU rRNA
Rfam family: Eukaryotic small subunit ribosomal RNA
Source: RNAcentral
UGUCUAAGUACAUGCCGUACCAAGGCGAAACCGCGAAUGGCUCAUUAAAUCAGUUAUGGUUCCUUGGAUCGUACCCCAUUACUUGGAUAACUGUGGCAAUUCUAGAGCUAAUACAUGCAGCAGAGCUCCGACCUUCGGGGACGAGCGCUUUUAUUAGACCAAGACCAAUCGGGCCUCGUGUCCGUGAAACGUGGUGACUCUGUAUAACUUUGGGCUGAUCGCACGGGCUUGUCCCGGCGACGUAUCCUUCAAGUGUCGCCUUAUCAACUGUCGAUGGUAGGCUAUGCGCCUACCAUGGUCGUAACGGGUAACGGGGAAUCAGGGUUCGAUUCCGGAGAGGGCGCCUGAGAAACGGCGACCACAUCCAAGGAAGGCAGCAGGCGCGCAAAUUACCCACUCCCGGAACGGGGAGGUAGUGACGAAAAAUAACAAUACGGGACUCUUUUGAGACCCCGUAAUUGGAAUGAGUACACUCUAAAUCCUUUAACGAGGACCCACUAGAGGAAAAGUCAGGUGUCAGCACCCGCGGUAAUUCCUGUUCUAGUAGUGUAUAUUAAAGUUGUUGCGGUUAAAAAGCUCGUAGUUGGAUCUCAGUUCGAGUCGGGUGGUCCCCCACACGGGGGCUACUGCCUGUUCUCAACACAGCCGGUUUCUCUAGAUGAUCUUCACCGGUUGUCUUGGGUGACCGGCAAGUUUACUUUGAAAAAAUUAGAGUGCUCAAAGCAGGCGCGACGCCUGAAUAAUGUUGCAUGGAAUAAUGAAAUAGGACCUCGGUUCUAUUUUGUUGGUUUUCGGAACAAGAGGUAAUGAUUAAGAGGGACAGACGGGGGCAUUCGUACUGCGACGCUAGAGGUGAAAGGAAUUGACGGAGGGGCACCACCAGACGUGGAGCCUGCGGCUUAAUUUGACUCAACACGGAAAACUCACCCGGCCCGGACACAGGAAGGAUUGACAGAUUGAGAGCUCUUUCUUGAUUCUGUGGAAGUGGUGCAUGGCCGCUCUUAGUUGGUGGAUUGAUUUGUCUGGUUUAUUCCGAUAACGAACGAGACCCUAGCCUACUAAAUAGACGACCCGAUUCUUCUCGGUCGGGCGUUCUUCUUAGAGGGAUAAGUGGCGUUUAGCGCACGAGACGGGGCAAUAGCAGGUCAGUGAUGCCCUCAGAUGUCCGGGGCCGCACGCGCGCUACAUUGAAGGAAUCAGCGUGUGCUUUCCCUGUCCGACAGGACUGGGUAAUCCGUUGAACCUCCUUCGUGCUGGGGAUAGGAAAUUGUAAUUGUUUUCCUUGAACGAGGAACGCCUAGUAAGCGCGAGUCAUAAGCUCGUGCUGACUAUGUCCCUGCCCUUGUGCACACCGCCCGUCGCCACUACCGAUUGAAUGAUUUAGUGAGGACAUCAGACUGGCGCUCGGAYUGGCCUUCGGUCGGGCCGCGUGCCGGAAAGAUGUCCAAACUUGACCAUUUAGAGGAAGUGAAAGUCGUAACAAGUUUCC